AACAAGGCUGUGAUCGGGAGAGUCAGAUGUUAAAGGGAUUCCAGAGAGGAGCUGGCCGGUGCGAAGCUCCAUUCCUGAACAUCUGAUAUGCACCCGGGAGCUGACCUCUGAAACGGAUGCGGCCCGGAGUAGGAGGAUCCGGCCACCCGCCGUUAUCGGGAAAAAGAGGGGCCUGGUUGGCCCAAACAGAGUGGAACCGCGGAUAUACCGUCUCUGUA
This 218-nucleotide non-coding RNA is filed under the name Thermoactinomyces sp. Its description in RNAcentral is "T-box sequence". It matches the Rfam family "T-box leader". From Rfam's summary of the family: Uncharged tRNA acts as the effector for transcription antitermination of genes in the T-box leader family. The record is from RNAcentral. Lineage: Bacteria; Bacillati; Bacillota; Bacilli; Caryophanales; Thermoactinomycetaceae.